GAUGAACGCUGGCGGCGUGCCUAAUACAUGCAAGUCGAGCGAACGGACGAGAAGCUUGCUUCUCUGAUGUUAGCGGCGGACGGGUGAGUAACACGCGGAUAACCAACCUAUAAGACUGGGAUAACUUCGGGAAACCGGAGCUAAUACCGGAUAAUAUUUUGAACCGCAUGGUUCAAAAGUGAAAGACGGUCUUGCUGUCACUUAUAGAUGGAUCCGCGCUGCAUUAGCUAGUUGGUAAGGUAACGGCUUACCAAGGCAACGAUGCAUAGCCGACCUGAGAGGGUGAUCGGCCACACUGGAACUGAGACACGGUCCAGACUCCUACGGGAGGCAGCAGUAGGGAAUCUUCCGCAAUGGGCGAAAGCCUGACGGAGCAACGCCGCGUGAGUGAUGAAGGUCUUCGGAUCGUAAAACUCUGUUAUUAGGGAAGAACAUAUGUGUAAGUAACUGUGCACAUCUUGACGGUACCUAAUCAGAAAGCCACGGCUAACUACGUG
Molecule: ribosomal RNA, 497 nt
Filed under: uncultured bacterium
Lineage: Bacteria
Description: partial 16S ribosomal RNA
Rfam family: Bacterial small subunit ribosomal RNA
Source: RNAcentral